RNAcentral lists this ribosomal RNA (512 nucleotides) under uncultured bacterium. RNAcentral describes it as "partial 16S ribosomal RNA". The record is from RNAcentral.
GGAGUUAGCCGGUGCUUCUUCUGCGAGUAACGUCACAGAUGUAAGGUAUUAACUUACACCCUUUCCUCCUCGCUGAAAGUGCUUUACAACCCGAAGGCCUUCUUCACACACGCGGCAUGGCUGCAUCAGGGUUUCCCCCAUUGUGCAAUAUUCCCCACUGCUGCCUCCCGUAGGAGUCUGGGCCGUGUCUCAGUCCCAGUGUGGCUGAUCAUCCUCUCAGACCAGCUAGGGAUCGUCGCCUAGGUGAGCCUUUACCUCACCUACUAGCUAAUCCCACCUGGGCUUAUCCAUCAGCGCAAGGCCCGAAGGUCCCCUGCUUUCCCCCGUAGGGCGUAUGCGGUAUUAGCAGUCGUUUCCAACUGUUAUCCCCCACAAAUGGGCAAAUUCCCAGGCAUUACUCACCCGUCCGCCGCUCGUCAUCUUCAAAAGCAAAGCUUUUGAAAUGUUACCGCUCGACUUGCAUGUGUUAGGCCUGCCGCCAGCGUUCAAUCUGAGCCAGGAUCAAACUCUGA